RNAcentral lists this ribosomal RNA (1911 nucleotides) under Tygarrup javanicus. Its description in RNAcentral is "partial 28S ribosomal RNA". It matches the Rfam family "Eukaryotic large subunit ribosomal RNA", at positions 44 to 1897 of the family's 3401-position model. Lineage: Eukaryota; Metazoa; Arthropoda; Chilopoda; Geophilomorpha; Mecistocephalidae. The record is from RNAcentral.
UAAUAAGCGGAGGAAAAGAAACUAACAAGGAUUCCCCUAGUAACUGCGAGUGAAGAGGGAAAAGCCCAGCACCGAAGCUCUCGCCCUGACGGGCGCUGCGCAAUGUGGUGUGUGAAGGGAGCCGCUACCGACGGGCAGUCCGUGCCUAAGUCCCCCUGACCGGGGCCACAGCCCAAGGCGGGUGCAAGGCCCGUGUGGCACGCGAGGCUACUCGGAGGUUGGUGACCUUUUUGGAGUCGGGUUGCUUGAGAGUGCAGCCCUAAGCCGGUGGUAAACUCCAUCGAAGGCUAAAUACCAAACACUAGACCGAUAGCAAACAAGUACCGUGAGGGAAAGUUGCAAAGAACUUUGGAGAGAGAGUUCAAGAGUACGUGAAACCGCUCGGAGGUAAACGGAUGGGACCUCGAAGGUCGAACGGGUGGAUUCAACCCGUCGGCGGUCGCGUCUCUGCGGAUAAACCCGAAGUAACAGAUCCGAGGGACUGGUUCGCAGAUCGACUCAUGCGGCUUCGCUGGCGGGCGCACUUCCACCUCAGUAGGACGCCGCGACCGGUCGUUAAAAAUUUUGUCUGGGCAGCCUUAAGUCGCGGGUGUUUGGCAGGUAUCUGUUGCCGGUAGUUCCGUUCGGGGGAUUCGUUCCUCGUUCGCGAGCCCGGUCGGAGUUACAGCCCGCCCCGUAAGCUUGACUGGCUCUGCCAUACGACCGUUGCUUGAAAAGACUCUCGUGUCGGCGCGCCCGCUUUGUGUUCACCACGAAAGCGCGUUCGCUCUCUCGCAGGCCGGGUAUCGGAGAGAUUAAAGUGACUGACGCCAUAAAAUAGGCGGCUGUUGCCUCUCCGCCUGCCGGUAGCGAGGAGUGGGGCUGGACGGUUUGAACUUAAAACCAAGGCUAACGCGGUUGGCGCUCGAGGUCUGCGGCGAGUAGGUCGGUAACCCAUCCGACCCGUCUUGAAACACCGGACCAAGGAGUUUAACAUGUGCCCAAGUCAAGAGGUUCGCGAAAGCGAGACCCGGUGGCGAAAUGAAAGUGAAGGCGGAUAGCUCUUCGGAGCCGACGCCGAGGCGAGACCGAACACGGAAUCAAACGAAAAACGUGCUUCGAGCAUCGCUGGCCCGUCUCAACCGCAACACGUCGGCGAGGCGGAGCAAAAGCGUACACGUUGGGACCCGAAAGAUGGUGAACUAUGCCUGUACAGGACGAAGCCAGAGGAAACUCUGGUGGAGGUCCGUAGCGAUUCUGACGUGCAAAUCGAUCGUCUGAUAUAGGUAUAGGGGCGAAAGACUAAUCGAACCGUCUAGUAGCUGGUUCCCUCCGAAGUUUCCCUCAGGAUAGCUGGCACUCGGAGAAAAACAGUCUCAUCCGGUAAAGCGAAUGAUUAGAGGCCUUGGGGCCGAAACGACCUCAACCUAUUCUCAAACUUUCAAUGGGUGAGAAGUCUGGCUUGCUCGAACUGAAGCACAGACAAAAUGUCUGGAUGCGAGUGCCCAGUGGGCCACUUUUGNNNNNNNNNNNNNNNNNNNNNNNNNNNNNNNNNNNNNNNNNNNNNNNNNNNNNNNNNNNNNNNNNNNNNNNNNNNNNNNNNNNNNAACCGAAAGGGAAUCGGGUUAAUAUUCCCGAACCCGGACGUGGAGAUGGGCCCGCGAGGGUCAGAAGCGGUAACGCAAAAUGAACUCGGAGAUGUCGGCGGCAGUCCCGGGAAGAGUUGUCUUUUCUUUGUAAGGGACUGACUCCCUGGAAUCGGUUCGACCGGAGAGAGGGAAAUUGUGCCCGUAAAGCACCGCGGCUCUUGCGGUGUCCGGAGAAUUGCCGCUGGCCCUUGAAAAUCCGAGGGAGUAAAAUUCAUUUCCACGCCGGGCCGUACCCAUAUCCGCAGCAGGUCUCCAAGGUGAACAGCCUCUAGUCGAUAGAACA